This is a long non-coding RNA of Eurytemora carolleeae, 218 nucleotides long. RefSeq lists it as uncharacterized. NCBI's taxonomy places the organism in Eukaryota, Metazoa, Arthropoda, Copepoda, Calanoida, Temoridae. The record is from RefSeq and is a predicted model, not a curated record. The transcript has 3 exons.
AGCUGGAGAAGCCUGUAAACGACGAGGAGGAGGAGGAGGACGAGGAUGAUGAGGACGGGUUCGGAGCCAGGAAGAAGGAGGAGGAGGAUGAUGACGACCCUGUAGCCCAGGCCCAGAAGCUGGCGGAAAAGUCGAUUGCAGACGCCAAAAAGAUUGCUGAGGAUAAGUGUGUGCUUCAAUAAAUACAGGUUGGAGAAAAUGAGCGAAGUACUUAAUAU